Brachypodium distachyon (stiff brome) is the source of this 125-nucleotide non-coding RNA. NCBI's taxonomy places the organism in Eukaryota, Viridiplantae, Streptophyta, Magnoliopsida, Poales, Poaceae. The record is from Rfam.
AAUCUACUCACUCCGUUUCAUAAUUCUUGUCGAAAUAUUACAUGUAUCUAGAUGUUUUUUAAGAAUAGAUACAUCCAUAUUUGGACAAAUUUGAGACAAGAAUUAUGAAACGAAGGAAGUAGAGU